UGAAGCUAUUUCGUGUAGUCUUCAAAGGAUUUCAAAAAAGUUUUUGCUUGAUGUCAAAGAUGAAUAAUUUGAACAUAUACUAAUUUUUCCAAUAAUUAAACUAUUAAAGCAAGGAAAUGGUACAUAUGUUCACCCUCAAAAAAUGAGACAUAGGUUCAUCCUUCAUACAACCACAACUUGAAGGCUGCAGAGCGAGGCGGCAAAACCUGUAAGAUGCAGCCAUGUGAAACACGAUAGAACUGCCACCACAAGAUCAAUCAAGCAUCAUUGAGAGAGAAAAAUCCUUGACCAUCAUUAACAUUUGUCAACGAAUCCAACUCCACUUCUACUGAUGAUAACCAAAGAACCUUCCUUGCCAAACGAAAAUGAUUAGAUUGUUAUAACAGUAAUAUUUUGAUCCCGAGGACCCAAAUUCAGAGCUAUGCGAUUAUGUUUGUGCAAAACCGUUAACACAACAUAAAACCAAAACUGAGAAACUCCUAUGCCAAACCAUUACAUCCUAAACUACUAUAUGUCAGCAUAUAACAUAUUCAUUCGGAUUCGAUGCCUUGUACGUGCCAGGUUAUGGAUACUGGUAUUUGCUUAGAUUACGCGGUACACUUCUAGAAAGCAAUAUUUCCUAGAAGAAGCAGAUGACUCUGAACCUUUCACUUGCAGACCAGGAACACACGUACAUGAGUCUGCUCAAAGCAUAUCUGCACAUGUUGGUAUUCAACCAAGUAAUUAAGUAAAAUAAUUUUGUUCUUUGAAAAAAGUAAGAUAAGCUUUGCUCGUCUAAGUUAAAUGGUUAACAGAGGAUCAAACCUGUCCUAGAACGAUCAAAUUUCGACAAAACAAAAACCUUAAAGAAGACAUACAUGCAUAUUAUAGAGAAGACUAACUAAUAGCACGUAGAACGGAUAUCUAGGAAGUAGAUAGGUUAUCUAUGCUGGUGGUUUGUAGGGUCGUACUGAGGUCGAUGAAGAGCCUGGUGAAUGACAGCUAGAAGAUUGGGCAUGACUAUGGAGAUGAAUAGGUGAGAGGCAUCGCCAGCCCCUGGAGAAUCACUGGCCCGCGCUGUCCGCUGACACAACGGCCCCGAAUCACUGUAGAAACUGUAUUGAGGAACUGAACAUGAAGAGUUGCUCCGCAUGAACCAACUGAUCACCUUCUUCUCCACUGGAUGUUCCAUCGUGUAUUGGUUGGAGUGUGAUCUGGCAUGUAAGCUAAGGAGAUUGAAAGAAGAAGACAAUUAUUCAGUAACUUCUUAUGCAAUAAGGAGGAACCGAAAAGAAAAUUCAAGUAGUUAUAGACAAACUUGACCGUGAACUUGGUUAUACUUACGUGCGGGAGCUCUCAAUCGAGCCAUGCACAUAUUGUGUAUUUGCCGGAUUGAUCCAGGAGCCUGUUUGUAGAUGCGGAGAAACACGCGGCCACCGUCAGGCGCUACACUCCUGCCUCGCGUGUAUUUCAUCAUAUACCCGUCAUAUGCUCAAUAAUCUAUAGAUGAAAAAAAUUGAUUGUCGAUGUUUGGAGACCAAAAGGACAGCCUACACGAAUAUGAUCAUGCCAAGGGUGGAAUUAAUUAGUAUUAUCUAGCUAUGCUUUUCCAGUCCAAGCGACAUUUCCAAUUUCUCAAGGAAAGGUAUUUUCAGAUUAGUUUUUCUGUUCUAGGCUACAUCACCACUUAUAUCUGCUUUGCAACAGUUUUUGGGCCACGAAAAACAACUGUAUUGGAGUCUGAAGAGACUAAGAGAAACUCUGACCAAUCAAACAGCAUGGCUGCAUACUGUAGAAAUUAAUUGGCACAUAUUUCUCCUAAUAGAUGGGCAGACUGCCAAAAUUAUUUGAAUCAAAGCAGGUUGCUUCUUACAAUUUUAAGCCUGCGGUUUACUUCUUACUUUUGUCCAAGCUUCCACGGGAGCUCUGUAUUCAUGGAGGUUCAGCAAAAAGUAGAGUGGGAUAUAUAUGUGUGGGCAGUGAAUGUAUAAACAUCUAAAGAUUUAGUGGAGUUCACCUUGUGAACAAAGAUGAAACCAAGUCUAGACAUGAAAAUAGAAAGCACAUCAUUCCCAUAACAGAAGCAUCACCAUCUAGGAAACUAAAACACUCACCAUUAGCCUAAUUAAUUUUAGAUUGGGCUCAUACAUUAGCAAACAACUUUGAAGAAAGGGGUCGCGCAUUACAUAAAAUUGCAGAUGAAAAGAAAGAGAAGGAAAGUGACCUUAGAAUUUAUGGAUGAAAAGCUAGCUCCAAUAGUACAGAAUAUUGUUGACUUAUGCAUCUCCAGAAAGGCUGAUCCCCACACUACCCUAUGGCACUUCUCCGUUUCUGAGCCCAUUCAGUGCGUUGAUGUCAGGAAUCAAUCAAUAGAUCUACGUGUUAUUUGAGGCAUAAACUGGGUUACAGACUGAAGGAAUUCUUUCCAAUCGAAUUACCUCUAAUGGUAAUCCCCUCCUAGCACCAGCAGAUCGAGCUACUGGACGCAAGCAUGUGUCAAGGUUUCCUAGUUAAUUUGCUCAACUGCUCAAUUUCAAAAGGGGAUUUGGCUUACAGGGAGUAGCUGGGUGACUUUCAGGUGUGCAGCACGGUACCUUGUUCGUGCUUUGGGCUCGGGGAGGAGGCCGACAGGAGCUUGGGGAGGCCGCCGGCAGCAGGAACUUGGGGGGGCCGGCAACCCGAGGUGAGGUCGAAUUAAAUUUCCGCCUCAUCGCUGCAGGCCUCCCCGCCGUCCCCGGGACAGGCGGCCGUGUCCAGGAGCUACGCCUCAUCGUCAUCCUCCUCCUUGAAGUAAUGUAGCCGAGAUGCACGGAAUCAAGCUGUCGGAGAAGUUGUUGGGGCUCUUGAGAUUGGCGCCGCAGGGGAAGUCGGCAAUGGCAGCGAGUAUGGCGGCUGCUUGGACAAACUUGGCAAGGGAGCAGGUGUGUUGCGAGCUUGCGAGAUUCAGGUGUCGGACGUUGAGGCGAUGCAAGGCCGAUGGCUGCGACCAGGGCGGCGCACGACGCGAGCAGGUGGUGGCGGCACGCAGCGGAGGGGCGGGGCCGGUGGUGGUGGGGCGCUCGAAGUUGAGAUGGGAGGCAAGGUCGUGCCUCGUCCCGUCGUCCGGGUGUUUUUUUUCUUUUUUUUCUGUUCCCCAUACCGCCGAGUUGACUUAACAAUAGGAUUGCGGGUUUAUUCUAGAAAACUCAAGGACUUUUGUAUAAACACGCUGCGACGGUGAACCCGGAGACCCAAUCCGUGCUUUAUUAUUAGGGAGAGACUAGCAAAAAGGGCCCGUGCGUUGCAACGGGAGAAAAUAUCGGUUACUAACCUUAUUUUAAAGGUGAUGGAUCAUAUAUUUAUCUAAGGUAGUUCCUUUACAAGUAAAAAAAGAAACGAAAAGUUAGGCAAUAUAUAGUGUUUGAUGCUUCUCCGCAUAGUACCAUUUCUUAGGAUCCACAAAGUAUUACUAAUAUGUAAGCCGAAAAUAAUGGGAAGUAGAUGCAGCAUAGCAUGACAUACCAGAUGAUUUUGCAAGCACACCACUGAAUAUAUCGAGGACUACUUAAUAUAAGAUCUUCAAAUAGGUACAUGUUUUUUUUGAAUGUCGGCCCUUUAUUGACUAAAAAACAAAGUCAUACAAAGCCUCCUGGAUACACUCCGGAGUAGAAUUGAAAACACAAAGACCAGAAGAGUUAAAACAAGACCUAGCUAAAACAUGAGCCAACACAUUACAUUGCCGACGAACAUGCAAAAACGAAACCGAGGAGAAGCCUAGAGUUGCCAUCUUGAUAUCAUCAAUGACGGAACCAACAACAGAACGAUCGUGGGCUUUGGAUUUCAGCCUUUGCACCAAAGAGAGGCAAUCGGUGGCAAAGAUCACAUGGAAAAGGUGGUCCUCUCGCGCCAUGUCAACUGCUCUGCGAAGAGCCAAAGCUUCGGCCAUCUCGGGUGUGAGAGAACCAGACAACACUUCGGUACAUGCCUUGAUGCAUUGACCCAUAUGGUCCAGAGCUACUACACCAGUCCCAGACUUGUUGAAGUCAUGAAAUGAAGCCGCAUCAGAAAAAAAACAUAACCGUACCGGGAGGCGGUGGAGACCAAUCAUAGCUAGAAGCAAUGGUCUCACAUCUAUUCACAGGAACAGGCUUGUAAAUAUGCUCGAAUAUCAUGUCAACAUAACCACGAAUUUUGCUUGCAGUACUUCGCGGAGUAGGAACUUCAGGAGUAUUUCGAGCCAAAUUUCGAGCAUCCCAGAUGUGCCAAAUGGAUACAUCCAUCACAGUUGCCUCACGAUCUGUGCAACGAGACAAAAAAUCAAAAAGCCACUGUUUUGGAGACCUGAAUUCACGACGGCGCAGCUGGACAUGAAAGAAAUUCUUCACUUCAUCCCACACAUUUCUUGCAUAAUGGCAGAAGAGCAAAGCAUGCUCGAUACUCUCUAUUCGGCCGCAGAAAGCACAUGCAGUAGGAGCAGGAACAUUGCGUCUACAAAGCUGUUCCCCGGAAGGCAAACAGUUAUGCGCAAGACGCCAUAAGACGAUCUUCAUCUUGUUAGGAGCAAUAACGGACCAUACAGAUUUCCAGUCCUUCUCCUCCGCCGCUCUGUUAGAAGAUUGGCCACGACCAUUACUACUAAUACUUGCCAUGAAGCUUUUCGACCGAGCCAUGUUGUAUGCCGAACGAAUGGAAUAAUGCCCUAACCUGGUAAUAGGCCAGUAUGCCAAAUCUGAACCACCAUGCCUUUUGAUAGGAACCUGCAGGAUCGCUGCAGCAAUGUCCGGCUCGAAGAACGCUUGCACAGUCUGAUCGUUCCAAGAACCAGUAUCUUCGUCCAACAGACAAUGAAUUGUGGCUGUUUCCGGGAUUGGUAAGGUUGUCCUAACCAUGCCAGGAGGAAACGAAGGGAUCCAAUAAUCAGACAAUAUAUGGGUGCCUUUACCAUCACCAAUCCUCCAGCAAAUCCCUUGCUUCAGAAGUUCCCGACCAUAAAGGAUGCUUCGCCAUGUAACUGAUGCGGACCGAGGAGCUGUAGCAUUCCAAAAGUCUCCAUGAGGGAAAUAUCUUCCUUUGAGAACCCGAGCACAUAAUGAAUCUGGUUCUGUAAGUAAGCGCCAUCCUUGCUUCCCAAGCAUAGCUUGAUUAAAAAGUGUCAUAUCACGAAAGCCCAUUCCCCCGAGAGAUUUUGGCGUAGUGAGCCACUUCCAGGACCGCCAGUGCAGCUUCUUCUUCCCAUCUUCCCUUCCCCACCAAUGGUCUGAGAUAAUCUGGCGGAACUUCUCACACGUGGCCACCGGAAGCUGAAAACAGCUCAUAAUGAAAGUCGGAAUCGCCUGGAUAAUUGAUUUUAGCAAAACUUCCAACCCUGCUCUGGAUAAAGGCCUAUCAGACCAACCAUGUAUACGCUGCCAAGCCCUAUCCGGAAGAAAUUUAAAAGUACUUGUAGGAGACCGUCCAACUACAGUAGGCAUGCCAAGAUAGGAACCAUGGAAAGUUUCAUUUGUGAUUCCAAAACUUGCCAUGACACGGUUCUUAACACUGACAGGACACCUGUUGCCAAAAAUUAUCGAGGACUUGUCCUUAUUGAUAAGUUGUCCCGAUCCUUCACAAAAUAGCUUCAGAAUGGAAUCCAAAGAGGCCACACUACGGAUGUCACUUCUGGCAAAGAAAAUGCUGUCGUCGGCAAACAGGAGAUGUGAGAUAGGUGGGCCAGAGCGACCGUUGCGGAUGCCAUGUAGCUCGCCACAAUUCUCCUUCUGUAACAACAGACUCGACAAUCCUUCUGUGCACAAAAGAAACAGGUAGGGGCUAAUUGGGUCCCCCUGACGAAUACCACGCGAAGGAACCACAGGUUCAGUGAGCUCACCAUUAACCCUGACUGCAUACCGGACAUUGGUGACACACCUCAUGACUGACUCAAUCCAUGCCGGAGCAAAACCAAGCCGGCACAAGCAGCCCUGAAGAUAACUUCACUCAAUACGAUCAUAUGCCUUCAUCAAAUCAAUCUUCAGGGCAAAGAAAGGUUGCUUCGCCUUUUGUUGUCUAAUAGUAUGCAUACAUUCAUAUGCAAUAAGAGUGUUGUCGGUGAUCAAUCUACCCGGCACAAAAGCACUCUGGCACUCCGACACCACAACAGAGAGAAACACCUUUAGACGGUUAGCCAAAGCCUUGGAAGCAAUCUUGUACAGAACAUUGCAUAGACUAAUAGGACGGAAAUUCUUUAGCUGAUUUGGCCUGGCAACCUUGGGGUUUUGUGACUCUGUGAUAGUUCAAAUAGGUACAUGUUUAUGAUGAACACUCUGAAGCUAUUUCGUGUAGUCUUCAAAGGAUUUCAAAAAAGUUUUUGCUUGAUGUCAAAGAUGAAUAAUUUGAACAUAUACUAAUUUUUCCAAUAAUUAAACUAUUAAAGCAAGGAAAUGGUACAUAUGUUCACCCUCAAAAAAUGAGACAUAGGUUCAUCCUUCAUACAACCACAACUUGAAGGCUGCAGAGCGAGGCGGCAAAACCUGUAAGAUGCAGCCAUGUGAAACACGAUAGAACUGCCAC
This 6504-nucleotide long non-coding RNA is filed under the name Triticum aestivum (bread wheat). RNAcentral describes it as "long non-coding RNA (TAES_LNC001064)". Lineage: Eukaryota; Viridiplantae; Streptophyta; Magnoliopsida; Poales; Poaceae. The record is from RNAcentral.